AGGACUAUACUUUCAGGGAUCAUUUCUAUAGUUCGUAACACCUUUUUUUAUUUUAAAAAAGAAUGUCUUCCCUUGACCAUUGCAUUCUGUG
RNAcentral lists this small nucleolar RNA (91 nucleotides) under Echinops telfairi (small Madagascar hedgehog). RNAcentral describes it as "Small nucleolar RNA U3 (ENSETEG00000024405.1)". It matches the Rfam family "Small nucleolar RNA U3", at positions 1 to 97 of the family's 219-position model. Rfam says of the family: Small nucleolar RNAs (snoRNAs) are involved in the processing and modification of rRNA in the nucleolus. There are two main classes of snoRNAs: the box C/D class, and the box H/ACA class. U3 snoRNA is a member of the box C/D class. Lineage: Eukaryota; Metazoa; Chordata; Mammalia; Afrosoricida; Tenrecidae. The record is from RNAcentral.